Panicum virgatum (switchgrass) is the source of this 654-nucleotide long non-coding RNA. RefSeq lists it as uncharacterized. The record is from RefSeq and is a predicted model, not a curated record. The transcript is spliced from 2 exons. Lineage: Eukaryota; Viridiplantae; Streptophyta; Magnoliopsida; Poales; Poaceae.
CUCAAUCCUACCGUCCUGACGCCCUGGCCCUGGCCCUGGCCGCACCUUCCGCGAGGGCUCCGUCGGCCGCCGCCGCGCGCCUCCCGCCGGCAUCGUGGGCGCCUGGGCGGGCACGGGGCCGUGCUGCUGCUGGCUCGGCUAUGCCUGCUGGUCCCUAGGGCCUGGGCGACCGCACGCCUCCGGCCUCCCGCCGGCGCGAGAACUGCCGACGCGUCUGCGCUCCGCCCGCCGUCUGGAGACGCGACCGUCCGAGGCUCCGAGCUGCCGCCUGGCUCCGGCUGCUGGAUGCUGCAGCUAGCAGCUAGGCCUAGGCAGCUAGCUGACUCUACACCAGAUCCAUUGCGCAAUCCAAUUGCAAUUCCCUCACUGGACUACCUAGUUUCAAUUUGUGGGUCCGCCACUGCCUGGGUCGGGCGCGGUAGUCAAGGCUGACCCGGUGUCGUCAAAAGCGAGAGGAGGUCGGUACGUGUAGCAUGGCAUGCAUGCAAACGGAUCCCGUCAAGACAGGCGGCUCGUGCGUAAGCCGAUUAUUAACUCAUCACUUCUAGAAGUUCGUUCGGGCUCAAAUGGGAAAUGGCUGACGACCCACACUGGUGAACUACUGCUUCGAUCGGGCGACUGGGAACAGUAUGUAGUAACAUCUGAUAAGAUUUU